GGGUUAGGGGUUAGGGUUCGGGGUAGUGUUAGGGUUUGGGCUUAGGGUUUGGGUUAGGGUUAGGGUUAUGGUCAGGGCGUUAGGUUUAGGGUUAGGGUUAAGGUUAGCGUUAGGGUUAGGGAUAGGGUUAGGCUCAGGGUUCAUUAGGGUUAGGGUUAGGGCUUAGGGGUCCAUUUAAGCGCUGUGCGUGCAUGUCUUUUUGGCAUUUGUGGAGCUCGGUUGUUUUUUUUUUUUUGUGUGUGUGUAUGUUCUAAAUUUUUUUUUUUUUUUUUUUUUGAGGGGUGAAUAGUGUGUGUGCUGAGCGUGGUUGGCAGGUGGAUGUGGGGAGCUGCUCAGGACUGGUAGGUUUGGUUUCUAGGAGUGUGCGGCAUCCUUCCUGUGUGAUGCGACUGAUUGUUGGGCGGGCAUGUUCCAGCUGGUGUGUCUUAAGCAAUGUAGCUUGUGUAGUGUGUGUUGUGUGGCCCGGGUGGAGCUUGCUGUGGUGCUGUGAGUGAACAAUCUCAGUUAGAGCUGGUGAGCAGCUGAAGUACCGGAGCUGGGAAGAGAGAGGUAUUGCAGCAGGUACGCUGCGGCUGUGAGGUGCCUCAGAGUGUGCUUUUCUCCUGUCUUUGCAGUUACUUUGUGCAGUUGUGGAGAGGGAAGGGAAAUCCUCAUGUCAUGAAGCACUGAGGGAAGGUGGAGUGGAUGAUACUGGCUGCACUGUUGGAGCUUGGACUCAGAGAGGAACACGUGAGCACAAUCCUGAUGAUGAGCCUUCAGUUGACUAAGAUGACAAUCAGUGCCUGUGCAUUUCUUGAGGCGGAGGGACUUUGCCAUCCAGCAACCUGAGAGCUAAGUUGGGGGGCACCUGGUAUUUGCAUAUGUGGGGUGGCUAAUGGGAGCUGGGAGGCAGAGCAGCAUGGAGCCUGCUGGCUGAAUAGACUUGGUGCCACUGUGAGGGUGGUUGAGGCUGGGUCACGUUCAGGCUGCUUGUGGCUGGGUCACCAGGCUAAUAGAAGGAGCGGGAUUAUUUUGUAGUGUGAGUGCGUGCGCCAGGCAGGACAGUUUCCUUCUGUUCGUCUGUCCUGUAGUGUUGCUUCUGCAACGUCUGUUCUGUGCUUCUCGGGUCUUGAUAUCCUCCUGGCUUUUUAGACCGGCGACUUGGUAGCGGUGCUGAAGGGCCUCAAUGCUUGUUUUGUCAUCAUGACUCUGAUCUGAGCACUUCUUGUCUUGCAGUCGCUGCUUGAAGUGCAGAUCUGUUUCAGGUCUUGUGCAUCAUACUUGGUUUGAGAUCGCGUCUGUUUCUAUCCUCACUCUUGCAGAAGUCAUCUGGGCCAUAUCAGGAGCUCUUGCGUGGGAAUUGAAUUCCUAAGCAUCGUCUUAUGGGGUUUUCACUCCCCAUCCUUCUGGUCUCUUGUCUUGAAGGCAGGCUUUUUAGGCCUCCAUCAUCCCAGUUCUGGCAGUUGCUUCCAGUCACGUGUCGUGACAUUUGAGUCUCUCCUGGGGUCUGGUGCAGAGCACCUGUUCUGACUUGCCAUUGCUGUAGGGCUUUCCUCUAGGGGUCACUUUUUCUUGCGCCUAGUGUUGUGUGUUUUGUUUGUAGUGUUUGUGGUGUGCCUGUGUGUGUACAUGUUUGGUCUGGAGCUGUCCUGCCUGGCAGUUAGUGAUGACAGCUAACGUGGCAGUGCAUGGGUGUACUAAUACAUUGUUUGUACUGUGUUGGUGAAGACACCCGGUUUGCCUCUGGGCACUUGCUGAAGGGCAUCUGGCACAGUAUAUCUGUUUGCGAGCAACUGCUCGUUUACCUCUAUUCAUAUAAUAAAUUGUAAAAUUUAAUUGCA
Molecule: long non-coding RNA, 1820 nt
Filed under: Anas platyrhynchos platyrhynchos (common mallard)
Lineage: Eukaryota; Metazoa; Chordata; Aves; Anseriformes; Anatidae
Description: lncRNA (ENSAPLG00000028355.1)
Source: RNAcentral